UGAGCUUGAUCCUGGCUCAGGAUGAACGCUAGCGGCAGGCUUAACACAUGCAAGUCGAGGGGUAUAGGUCUUCGGAACAAGAGACCGGCGCACGGGUGCGUAACGCGUAUGCAAUCUACCUUUUGCAGAGGGAUAGCCCAGAGAAAUUUGGAUUAAUACCUCAUAGUAUAGCAGUUUCGCAUGAAACCACUAUUAAAGUCACAACGGCAAAAGAUGAGCAUGCGUCCCAUUAGCUAGUUGGUAAGGUAACGGCUUACCAAGGCUACGAUGGGUAGGGGUCCUGAGAGGGAGAUCCCCCACACUGGUACUGAGACACGGACCAGACUCCUACGGGAGGCAGCAGUGAGGAAUAUUGGACAAUGGGCGCAAGCCUGAUCCAGCCAUGCCGCGUGCAGGAUGACGGUCCUAUGGAGUUGUAAACUGCUUUUGUACAGGAAGAAACACUCCCUCGUGAGGGAGCUGAC
Molecule: ribosomal RNA, 464 nt
Filed under: Flavobacterium sp. 01WB02.3-25
Lineage: Bacteria; Pseudomonadati; Bacteroidota; Flavobacteriia; Flavobacteriales; Flavobacteriaceae
Description: bacterial SSU rRNA
Rfam family: Bacterial small subunit ribosomal RNA
Source: RNAcentral